UGGCGGACGGGUGAGUAAUGUCUGGGAAACUGCCUGAUGGAGGGGGAUAACUACUGGAAACGGUAGCUAAUACCGCAUAACGUCGCAAGACCAAAGAGGGGGACCUUCGGGCCUCUGCCAUCGGAUGUGCCCAGAUGGGAUUAGCUAGUAGGUGGGGUAACGGCUCACCUAGGCGACGAUCCCUAGCUGGUCUGAGAGGAUGACCAGCCACACUGGAACUGAGACACGGUCCAG
This 234-nucleotide ribosomal RNA is filed under the name uncultured bacterium. Its description in RNAcentral is "partial 16S ribosomal RNA". It matches the Rfam family "Bacterial small subunit ribosomal RNA", at positions 96 to 334 of the family's 1533-position model. The record is from RNAcentral.